Rhizobium oryziradicis is the source of this 74-nucleotide transfer RNA. It matches the Rfam family "tRNA". From Rfam's summary of the family: Transfer RNA (tRNA) molecules are approximately 80 nucleotides in length. Their secondary structure includes four short double-helical elements and three loops (D, anti-codon, and T loops). Further hydrogen bonds mediate the characteristic L-shaped molecular structure. tRNAs have two regions of fundamental functional importance: the anti-codon, which is responsible for specific mRNA codon recognition, and the 3' end, to which the tRNAs corresponding amino acid is attached (by aminoacyl-tRNA synthetases). tRNAs cope with the degeneracy of the genetic code in two manners: having more than one tRNA (with a specific anti-codon) for a particular amino acid; and 'wobble' base-pairing, i.e. permitting non-standard base-pairing at the 3rd anti-codon position. Lineage: Bacteria; Pseudomonadati; Pseudomonadota; Alphaproteobacteria; Hyphomicrobiales; Rhizobiaceae. The record is from Rfam.
GGCCCCUUAGCUCAGCUGGAUAGAGCACCUGCCUUCUAAGCAGGUUGUCGCAGGUUCGAAUCCUGCAGGGGUCG